Molecule: transfer RNA, 72 nt
Filed under: Bos taurus (domestic cattle)
Lineage: Eukaryota; Metazoa; Chordata; Mammalia; Artiodactyla; Bovidae
Also listed under: 1 other name
Rfam family: tRNA
About the family: Transfer RNA (tRNA) molecules are approximately 80 nucleotides in length. Their secondary structure includes four short double-helical elements and three loops (D, anti-codon, and T loops).
Source: Rfam by way of RNAcentral
UCUCUGGUGGUCCAAUGGCUAAGACUCUGUGCUCCCGAUGCAGGAACCUGGGUUCAAUCCCUGGUCAGGGAA